AAAUUGAAGAGUUUGAUCAUGGCUCAGAUUGAACGCUGGCGGCAGGCCUAACACAUGCAAGUCGAACGGUAACAGGAAGCAGCUUGCUGCUUCGCUGACGAGUGGCGGACGGGUGAGUAAUGUCUGGGAAACUGCCUGAUGGAGGGGGAUAACUACUGGAAACGGUAGCUAAUACCGCAUAACGUCGCAAGACCAAAGAGGGGGACUUUCGGGCCUCUUGCCAUCGGAUGUGCCCAGAUGGGAUUAGCUAGUAGGUGGGGUAACGGCUCACCUAGGCGACGAUCCCUAGCUGGUCUGAGAGGAUGACCAGCCACACUGGAACUGAGACACGGUCCAGACUCCU
This 343-nucleotide ribosomal RNA is filed under the name Escherichia coli. Its description in RNAcentral is "bacterial SSU rRNA". It matches the Rfam family "Bacterial small subunit ribosomal RNA", at positions 1 to 340 of the family's 1533-position model. Lineage: Bacteria; Pseudomonadati; Pseudomonadota; Gammaproteobacteria; Enterobacterales; Enterobacteriaceae. The record is from RNAcentral.